UGACAUAACAUGCUGCUUGAUAUUGAUACUGAUACAGACUAGCGCCCCCCAUUUCAGUCUCAGCACCCCCCUCUCAGAUUUCUUGUUCCAAACGUCCCAUGACAGUUGCUUCAUAGGUAACACC
Molecule: long non-coding RNA, 124 nt
Organism: Sphaeramia orbicularis (orbiculate cardinalfish)
Lineage: Eukaryota; Metazoa; Chordata; Actinopteri; Kurtiformes; Apogonidae
Exons: 3
Source: RefSeq, a predicted model, not a curated record